RNAcentral lists this ribosomal RNA (564 nucleotides) under Streptomyces sp. 337F10. RNAcentral's name for it is "bacterial SSU rRNA". It matches the Rfam family "Bacterial small subunit ribosomal RNA", at positions 93 to 671 of the family's 1533-position model. Lineage: Bacteria; Bacillati; Actinomycetota; Actinomycetes; Kitasatosporales; Streptomycetaceae. The record is from RNAcentral.
UAGUGGCGAACGGGUGAGUAACACGUGGGCAAUCUGCCCUGCACUCUGGGACAAGCCCUGGAAACGGGGUCUAAUACCGGAUAACACUCCUGCACUCAUGUGUGGGGGUUAAAAGCUCCGGCGGUGCAGGAUGAGCCCGCGGCCUAUCAGCUUGUUGGUGAGGUAAUGGCUCACCAAGGCGACGACGGGUAGCCGGCCUGAGAGGGCGACCGGCCACACUGGGACUGAGACACGGCCCAGACUCCUACGGGAGGCAGCAGUGGGGAAUAUUGCACAAUGGGCGAAAGCCUGAUGCAGCGACGCCGCGUGAGGGAUGACGGCCUUCGGGUUGUAAACCUCUUUCAGCAGGGAAGAAGCGNAAGUGACGGUACCUGCAGAAGAAGCGCCGGCUAACUACGUGCCAGCAGCCGCGGUAAUACGUAGGGCGCAAGCGUUGUCCGGAAUUAUUGGGCGUAAAGAGCUCGUAGGCGGCUUGUCACGUCGGGUGUGAAAGCCCGGGGCUUAACCCCGGGUCUGCAUUCGAUACGGGCUAGCUAGAGUGUGGUAGGGGAGAUCGGAAUUCCU